Molecule: long non-coding RNA, 2599 nt
Filed under: Panax ginseng (ginseng)
Lineage: Eukaryota; Viridiplantae; Streptophyta; Magnoliopsida; Apiales; Araliaceae
Description: long non-coding RNA (PGIN_LNC013603)
Source: RNAcentral
GAAGAGUGGACUAGGAGCCUUGAGUGCUCUGAACCACUUAAAAUCACUUUGUCUUUUAUAUUCUUGUUAUAACUGUUAUAUCUAUCAUAAAUGCUUACCUAUUAACUUGGUUUAUUUUAAAGGGGAACACACAAAUCAUAUAUUCCGCUGUGGUUAAUUUAUUAACAAAUCUGACAAAGUAUUUUAAAAAAGAAAAUUUUAAAAUAUCUAUUCAACCCCCCUUCUAGAUAGCUAUAGUGUAUUUGGGAACUAACAAAUAUGUUAAUAAAAUAAAACAAAAUAAAACUUAGACCAUUUAAUUGAAGUUUUAAGUAAGCAGCCUGUCAACAUUUAUGAUAAGUAAUACAUUCUAAUAUAAAUUCACCAUAUCUGAACAUUAUCAUAGAGUUCAAACAAUGAGACAACAAGAAGUAUUAACUUUCUCAUCUCACCUUUGCUGGAAAAGAGGUGUCAAGUAUUCCAUUAAUAUUAAUAAUUGAUGUCAAGAGAUUAAGCUAAAUAAAAGCAGUCUGCCAAUACAACGUAACGACUGCUUGACCCCAUUGUAGCAUUACUUCAAUUGUUACAGACUAAUCCCAUCAAUGCAAUAAUGAGUGAAAAACUUUGAAACAUAACAAACAACAAAAGCAUUUCCUAAAUUCAAUAUAACGUGUACACAUUAUGGGGUAACAAAGCUUUGAAACAUAACAACCAACAAUAAAGCAUUAAGAACCUACUGAGUAAUUAGAGACAACCACAACCUUGAGUCCAGUCUGAUAAGAAAAUUUCUUUGCCUCCUCAUGUAUGUACCCAAAAAGACAAAAGAAAUCAAUCAACUAUAAUAAACUAUAAGCAAAACACACAAACCAAAAUGCGAUUAUAACAUAUUCUACCUGACAAAAUAAUUCUCAAGUUGGAGACAAUAUAAGAGCAAGUGGGUAAGAUAAUUUAAUUUGGCUACUCGGCACCGGUGACAAAUCCUGUCUCAGAAUCCCACUAAUGAUCGAAAAAUAAAACGCUGCUGUUUUACUAAACUCAGUUUGAGCACAAGCCAUGAACCCCCAAUUACAAUCAUUCUCACAUCAACAGACCUCCUCAAUUUGUAAUUUUUAAUAUAUAACAUAAGGAAAUUUAGAAAUGACUUAUCAAAGUAAUUAAAUCAAACUAAUUACUAUAUUUCACAUUAUAUAAAUCAAUCUAAUUUCAUCAUUUUCAUGCUUUCUAACAAAUCAAUUUAGUAACAAAUUUUCAUGCUUUCUAACAAAUCAAUUUAGUAAGUUGUGUUUGUGGAUCAACCUAUAAAACAAUAUCGUGUGAUUAGUUUACUUGUCCAUCUUAGCCUCAAACAAAAAAGGAACGUCCAUAACAAAAGUGCGAGUAGCCUUCAAGUAUGCAAUUGUCAAAAUUCAAGACUUUAAAGUAUAUAUAUUGGCCACAUGUUAUUGGUUGCAAUUCUCAGUUAGGGGUUAGUUGAAGUAAGCACUAUAUAUACUGGAAGGGAAUAUAUGCAUACAUCAUACAUACAAAGUAAGAUAUUUUUUGGCUAUCCAUUAAAAAGCGGCUUCCGCAUUGAAUCCCUCUUUUCUAGAGGUCUCAAAGUAAGGUAUGUUUCCCUUGGAGGCACACCAUGCCCUUGCUUUCUUCUCAAAAACCUAUUUUUAGAAGAGAAGACACAUGCACCCAAUAACUACUAAGAACUGACAGAGCAUCAUACGAGGAAGCUAAAGCAAGUUGAAAUGAAGAAAUAUCAAUUCACCACUUGACUAUUGUCACCAUCAACAUCUAUUUUGUUCCCCAACACAAUAAAUGAAAAAAUUUCAUGUUCAGCAUGGCUGACCUGAAAUUCUAAUAGCAAUUACUCUUCAAGAAUCAAACAUCUAGCCACAUAAUUUAUAUAAAGAUCUCAUCUUGUGUGUAUAAACAUACACACUCAAUAUGUCAAAGUUCAUGACCUUAAUAUUAUCAAAUAUAAUAAUAAUAAUAAUGCUCCCUAAACAUGAAUUAAGUUUAUUAGGAAAUUUUCAAAAAAAGUGUCCACUUAUGAAAUUAGAGUACCAAAUUCGCUAGAUAUCUUGGUCAUUAAUCAUGUAUGUAUAUAACAUGAAUAAGCAACUCCAUAAACAGUUGAAUUGAAAAAAUUGUAGGAAAAUAUGAAGUUUAAUAGCUUAGAAAUACUUAAAACAUAACCUAGCAAAGAAAAAUAAAAACAAAAUUAAAUCAAAAAUUAGGGUUUGAAAAAUGAAUUUACCUCCUCAAUAAAAUGUUCAGAUGAGUAUCAUGAAAUCCAAAAUGAUUUGCAUAAUCAAUAGAGAGUAUUUAUCUAAAAUGAUUUGUUCCUCUAUUGUAACUUUAAAUACUCAAAUUGAAAACUAACCUUUAAUUAGAUGUAACGUACAAUCCCAAUGGAGGAAAAGGUGAACAAAUCAACCGCCGUCAUCGCCAAAAAAUAAUGUUACCUUCGAAAAUUAGGGUUUUGUAUUUCAAAAUUAGGGAUAAAGUGAGAGAAUAGAUAAGAGGGGAAAGAAAGAGGAGAGGGAUGAGGAGGAAGAGGGUUGUGAGUGAGUGGAGAGGCAGAUGGGAGGAAGAGAGCGAUGGAAUUCUGCGUUAGUUUUCUUUUUCU